AUACGUAGGGUGCAAGCGUUAAUCGGAAUUACUGGGCGUAAAGCGUGCGCAGGCGGUUUUGUAAGGCAGUGGUGAAAUCCCCGGGCUCAACCUGGGGACUGCCAUUGUGACUGCAAGGCUGGAGGGCGGCAGAGGGGGGUGGAAUUCCGGGUGUAGGAGUGAAAUGCGUAGAUAUGCGGAGGAACACCGAUGGCGAAGGCAAUCCCCUGGGCCUGCACUGACGCUCAUGCACGAAAGCGUGGGGAGCAAACAGGAUUAGAUACCCUGGUAGUCCACGCCCUAAACGAUGUCAACUGGUUGUUGGGGAUUUAUUUUCUCAGUAACGAAGCUAACGCGUGAAGUUGACCGCCUGGGGAGUACGGCCGCAAGGUUAAAACUCAAAGGAAUUGACGGGG
RNAcentral lists this ribosomal RNA (395 nucleotides) under uncultured bacterium. RNAcentral's name for it is "partial 16S ribosomal RNA". It matches the Rfam family "Bacterial small subunit ribosomal RNA", at positions 523 to 918 of the family's 1533-position model. The record is from RNAcentral.